Molecule: ribosomal RNA, 114 nt
Filed under: Pogona vitticeps (central bearded dragon)
Lineage: Eukaryota; Metazoa; Chordata; Lepidosauria; Squamata; Agamidae
Source: RNAcentral
UUUUAUCACCACACCACCUUGAAUGCACCUCCUUUGAUUUCAGAUGUAAAGCAGGGUCAGGCCUGAUGAGUACCUGGAUGGGAAACUCCCAUGGAACGCCAAAAGUCUCUAGGU